CACCGCGGUUAUACGAGAGACCCAAGUUGACAGAUCACGGCGUAAAGGGUGGUUAAGAAACUAUACUAAACUAAAGUCGAACGCCCCCAGUACUGUGAUACGUCUCCGAGGGCAUGAAGCCCAGCCACGAAAGUGACUUUAUUAAUUCUGACCCCACGAAAGCUGAGAAA
This 170-nucleotide ribosomal RNA is filed under the name Pseudochromis luteus. Its description in RNAcentral is "partial 12S rRNA". The record is from RNAcentral. Lineage: Eukaryota; Metazoa; Chordata; Actinopteri; Pseudochromidae.